GACGAACGUUGGCGGCGUGCUUAACACAUGCAAGUCGAGCGGAGUUUAGAAGGAAGCUUGCUUUUUGCUAAACCUAGCGGCGGACGGGUGAGUAACGCGUGGAUAAUCUGCCUGUAAGACCGGGAUAACGCCGGGAAACCGGUGCUAAUACCAGAUAAGUUCAAUUUUUCGCAUGAAGAGUUGAAGAAAGGUGGCCUCUGUUUACAAGCUACCACUUACAGAUGAAUCCGCGUCCCAUUAGCCAGUUGGUGGGGUAACGGCCCACCAAAGCGACGAUGGGUAGCCGGCCUGAGAGGGUGACCGGCCACACUGGAACUGAGACACGGUCCAGACUCCUACGGGAGGCAG
RNAcentral lists this ribosomal RNA (348 nucleotides) under uncultured Bacillota bacterium. Its description in RNAcentral is "bacterial SSU rRNA". It matches the Rfam family "Bacterial small subunit ribosomal RNA", at positions 28 to 351 of the family's 1533-position model. Lineage: Bacteria; Bacillati; Bacillota. The record is from RNAcentral.